This 301-nucleotide ribosomal RNA is filed under the name uncultured bacterium. Its description in RNAcentral is "partial 16S ribosomal RNA". It matches the Rfam family "Bacterial small subunit ribosomal RNA", at positions 509 to 807 of the family's 1533-position model. The record is from RNAcentral.
CAGUAGCCGCGGGAAUACGUAGGUGGCAAGCGUUGUCCGGAAUUAUUGGGCGUAAAGGGCUCGCAGGCGGUUUCUUAAGUCUGAUGUGAAAGCCCCCGGCUCAACCGGGGAGGGUCAUUGGAAACUGGGAAACUUGAGUGCAAGAGGGGAGAGUGGAAUUCCAUGUGUAGCGGUGAAAUGCGUAGAUAUAUGGAGGAACACCGGUGGCGAAAGCGGCUCUCUGGCUUGUAACUGACGCUGAGGCUCGAAAGCGUGGGGAGCAAACAGGAUUAGAUACCCCGGUAGUCCCUGUCUCUUAUAC